Molecule: long non-coding RNA, 387 nt
Organism: Caretta caretta (loggerhead turtle)
Lineage: Eukaryota; Metazoa; Chordata; Testudines; Cheloniidae
Source: RefSeq, a predicted model, not a curated record
GCUGAGCGCUUCAGUGCUGUGUGCAGCAUCGGGGCCGAGCGCUUCACUGGAGCCAGCUGUUUUGCCAGUACCAACUGCAUCCUUGGUGCCAGAAAUGGACCCGGAGCUGCCGAGGAGAUAAAGGGCUCACUUCGGUCACCCACAACAGGAGGAUGAAGGUGAAGAAAAGAAAAUGAAGCGGCUAACUAACUACGAGAGGAGGAAAACAGUGAUGUAUAUUAAUUCUCAAGCCAGCAGGAAGGGAGGUGCAGUUAAGUACUUGAUGACACAUCACUGGACUGCAGUGGCCAGAAACCACUGUUACUAUGGGGAAACAAACAAUGGUACAAUGGAAUCUCCAAGUUACAAACUGACUCAUCAACAACACACCUCAUUUGGAACUGGAAG